This 72-nucleotide transfer RNA is filed under the name Dipodomys ordii (Ord's kangaroo rat). It matches the Rfam family "tRNA". From Rfam's summary of the family: Transfer RNA (tRNA) molecules are approximately 80 nucleotides in length. Their secondary structure includes four short double-helical elements and three loops (D, anti-codon, and T loops). Further hydrogen bonds mediate the characteristic L-shaped molecular structure. tRNAs have two regions of fundamental functional importance: the anti-codon, which is responsible for specific mRNA codon recognition, and the 3' end, to which the tRNAs corresponding amino acid is attached (by aminoacyl-tRNA synthetases). tRNAs cope with the degeneracy of the genetic code in two manners: having more than one tRNA (with a specific anti-codon) for a particular amino acid; and 'wobble' base-pairing, i.e. permitting non-standard base-pairing at the 3rd anti-codon position. The record is from Rfam by way of RNAcentral. Lineage: Eukaryota; Metazoa; Chordata; Mammalia; Rodentia; Heteromyidae.
GGGAGUGUGGCUGAGUGGUAGAGUACUUGCCUCAUAUGCACGAGGCCCUGGGUUCAAUUCCCAAUACCACCU